AAGGAAACUAGACAAUCUUACA
RNAcentral lists this microRNA (22 nucleotides) under Caenorhabditis briggsae. RNAcentral describes it as "Cbr-Mir-787_5p* (star (passenger))". The record is from RNAcentral. Lineage: Eukaryota; Metazoa; Nematoda; Chromadorea; Rhabditida; Rhabditidae.